UGAACAAAACACAUUUACAGGUUGUACAGCGCCACAAUCGUUUGCUACCAUGCCUUUUACCUUCCUCUUCUGUAUAUUACUUUUCUAGCAGAUUUUUUUGAGGAGGAAGACAUGCAUUUAGAGAAUGUGUACUACUCAGAGAUGAAAGAUGCUGGUUUUUUUUAUGCUGACUGGGAGUAAGCAUCAAAUGGACUUUGAGUUAGUAGCUUCUCUAUACAUAAAGCUCUGUAAAUAUAAAGUGCAGUUACGAUUGUAAAAUAUCAGCUCAAACAGAUGAUGGAUCUAUGUCUCAAUAUACCGAUAUUGCUGUGGGAACAAAUCCAAUAAUGUAGAAUGUGCUUUACCUAGAGCUUCUUCCUAAAGAUCAGUUAGUCCUUGAUUUUUUUUUAGUAUGUACUAUGUGUUAUCAAGUAGAUUUGGAGUUUGAAUA
Gossypium raimondii (Peruvian cotton) is the source of this 430-nucleotide long non-coding RNA. RefSeq lists it as uncharacterized. The record is from RefSeq and is a predicted model, not a curated record. The transcript is spliced from 2 exons. Lineage: Eukaryota; Viridiplantae; Streptophyta; Magnoliopsida; Malvales; Malvaceae.